This 777-nucleotide long non-coding RNA is filed under the name Heterocephalus glaber (naked mole-rat). RNAcentral's name for it is "lncRNA (ENSHGLG00100049521.1)". The record is from RNAcentral. Lineage: Eukaryota; Metazoa; Chordata; Mammalia; Rodentia; Bathyergidae.
GAGGAAGGGAUGUAGCUCUCCCCACUUAGAACCAAGCGUCUCCUGCACCAAUAAUGUGAGAACUCGGAAGAAAGAGGUGCUGAGGAUGGAACCCAGUGCCCGUGCACGCCAGGCUCUGCCACUGCCUUACAAACUCUGUCCAGCCAACCCAACAAUGAUGCUAUUUCUUUACAUCUGAGGAAGCCAGCAAUUAGCCUGAGUAGAUCCACGUAGAUGCUGCCAGUUUACUCUGGAAGUCAUUACAUAUGGAGAAAGAGGCAGACAAAAAGAGAAAAGAGCAACAAUCAGGAAGAGAGAGAGAGAGGGGGGGAGAGUUCCUUCACAUUUCAUAGUGUGGCUGCAUCAUAAUUUAUUUAAAAUUUUCUCCUGUCUCAGAAUACCUUCCUGUAUAACAAGAACAGAUCCCAGCUACUCAGGACCCUGAGGCAGAAGAAUGGAAAGGUGAUUUCUACCGACAGAAAAAGUGUGUAGUAUGGUAAAAAAAAAAAUGGUCUUUUUCCCAGCUCCCUGCCACAGAGCUCCUAAAACCCUUAAAAUUUCCUGAGUGGCAUGAAUGCCUUUUGUUUUAAUGAGCCCCUUUUUGAUCAUACCUGAGUCGGUGCUGAGUAACUCCUUCCCACCCCCACUGAAGAGCCUCAGAUGGGCCAGGUCACUGGAAGGAACAAGUGACUAUACCAUUAUUUCCUGAAAAUAAGACUGGGUCUUAUAUUAAUUUUUGCUCCAAAAGACACAAUAGAGCUUAUUUUCAGGGGAUGUCUUAUUUUUUCAUGUACAGCA